This is an RNA transcript of Salvia miltiorrhiza (redroot sage), 3704 nucleotides long. It is a transcript of the gene named protein FAR1-RELATED SEQUENCE 2-like, with no coding region annotated. The record is from RefSeq and is a predicted model, not a curated record. Lineage: Eukaryota; Viridiplantae; Streptophyta; Magnoliopsida; Lamiales; Lamiaceae. The transcript has 11 exons.
CUACGCGGCUACGCCAACCGAUAAUGAAAUGUCAAUUUGAUCAAUUUUAUAUAGUCCAGGAGUUCCUUUUAAACCAAAAAAACAAAAUACAAAAACAAAACUGUUCAUUUGAGCUCAAAUUUACUUAUGUCUGGAAGAAACUAACCAUAUAGUUAUAUUUCUAUUCUUAACUUAAUGGUAAUUUUUGUUUAUCUCAAGUAAAAUCCACCUUGUAUUUUUCUAGAAACCAUUCCUCGAAAUGGAUUCAUUAACGUCAACUUUAGUCAAACAUUUCUUUGUAUGAUCGAAGAGGACUGAAGAACUUGCGUGACUUAUUUAAAUUAAUUGAAUCUAUAUAACAAUGAUUAAAGUAUAAAAAUAUCAGUUAAAUAUCAAAUUAAAAAUUCUAUAUUUUCGAUUAGCUACAAAAAAAUUAGUAUUAUGAAUCGGUCAUCGACUCCCAAGUGUAGACGAAGUGGAUGCCUGAGUUCUACUGCCAAAGUAAUUAGGGCUCAAACGCAAUUAGUGCAAAAUAUCGAGGUCAAAAUACAAGAAACCGUAAAACCUUCAUCUCGAUGACUAUGACUAUGAGCGAAGACUGGGUCUCCUCAGCUUCGCUACUGCAAGCGACAGUGAGAAAUUUUGAUUUUGGUUCUAUAUUGCUUGAUUGCCUCCAAGAAUGUUCCUUUUUUACUUGGCCUAUACAAUGAAAAGGUUUCCUGCUUUGGUUCGGAAGCGGGAUAAGCAAAGAUGGAUUUCUUGAAUUUUGGCGAAACCCCAAUAUGGCAGAAGUUAGUGAAUUUUGUUUAAUCCAGUUAUACCAGGUACUUUUUCGAGGAAAAUGUUUGUGAUAUAGUUCUGAUUAGAUGUUUGCCUAUGGAGAUUGAUUUAGAAUUGCCAUCGUUGGACAUAAGAAAUAAUGAUGGUGGUAUUGGUAAUGAAGAAAUUGUGGCUGAUAAUGAAAUUAUGGGAGAUGAAGAUGGAGUGAAUUUGAAAGUCUUGAGUGAUAAUAGAGGUAGGGUAGAGAGUUACAUGCCUCAAAAUGGUAUGGAAUUCGAGACGAAGGAAGCGGCCUAUUCUUUCUAUAGGGAGUAUGCUCGGUCAGUUGGAUUUGGCAUCACGAUAAAAGCUAGUCGCAGGUCCAAAAAAUCUGGCAAGUUUAUUGAUAUAAAGAUCGCGUGUUCUAGGUUUGGGAGCAGGCCUCAGUCCAGCACGAGUAUUAGUCAAAGGCCGUGUGCCAAGACAGACUGCAAAGCUAGCAUGCAUAUCAAGAAAAGGUCAGAGGGGAAGUGGUUUGUGUACAAUUUUGUGGAGGGGCAUAAUCACGAAUUUAUGCCUAACGAUUUCUUUAACACUAUAAGGGGAAGAAAGAAUAAGGAGGCCGAUGCUGCCUGCCACAGGAAAGGGCUGCAGCUGGUUUUAGACGAGAGUGAUGUAGAGUUGUUGCUAGAUUAUUUCAUGCAUAUGCAAGCUGAGGCUCCGGGGUUUUACUAUGUGAUAGAUUUUGAUGCUGAAGCACGUAUGAGAAAUGUGUUUUGGGUUGAUCAGAAAGGUAGGCAUGAUUAUGCAUCUUUCAGUGAUGUGAUCUUCUUUGAUGCUCAUUACAUCAGAACAAAGUAUAGAAUUCCUUUUGUACCUAUUGUCGGGGUGAACAAUCAUUUUCAGUUCAUUUUGCUUGGAUGUGCCUUGAUUGGAGAUGAAACGAAGUCUAGCUUUACUUGGUUGAUGCGCACUUGGCUUAGAGCAGUUGCUGCACAUAGUCCGAAAGUGGUCAUCACUGAUAACGACAGGUCAUUUAUAGAAGCUGCACAUGAUGUUUUCCCUAAUGCUUCCCAUUGCUUUUGCCCUUGGCACGUCUUCACUGAAGUUGGUCAAAAUCUAAGUGGGAAAUUUGACAAAUCCGAACUUCUUUUGAUGAAAUUCAAGAAAUGCACAUAUAGAUCCCGGACUACCGAAGAAUUUGAUAAGAGAUGGCACAAAAUGGUCAAGCAAUUUGAUCUUGGAGAUGAUAAGUGGGUGCAAUUAUUGUAUGAUGAUCGCAGAAAAUGGGUUCCUACUUAUAUGAGAGAGGUUUUUCUUGGUGGAUUUUGUACAGUUGAGAGAUCACAAAGUGUAGUGUCUUUCUUUGACAAGUACCUGCAAAAGGAAACUAGAUUUCACGAAUUCAUUGAUCAAUACAAAUUAUUUUUGCGUGAGUGUUGUGAACAAGAAGUUAAGGCAGAGGUUGAAACUCGCAGCAGUGGACCAAUAUUGAUUUCUCAUUCACCUUUUGAGAAGCAAAUGUCUAAACUUUACACAAAUGAUAUAUUCAAAAAGUUUCAAGCUGAAGUUUCAGGAACACUUUCAUGCACUCCUGAAAAAGAAGGUGAAGAUGAGGAAACCAUUGUUUAUAGGGUUUAUGAUCUUGAAAGGAAACAGAGCUUCACUGUCUCCUGGAGUAAAGGAAUAUAUGGCAUCUAUUGUUUGUGCCGUUUGUUUGAAUAUAGCGGAUUUCUCUGCAGACACUCCUUAUCAGUUCUCCAACUAUCAAGCAUUUCCACUAUUCCGUCAAACUAUAUACUGAAGCGAUGGACACGAGCUGCAAAGAUUAUAGAUAUACCUCAAGCAUCAGCCAGUACAAAUUUUAGGGUUCAGCGCCUUAAUGAUAUUUGUAAACUUUCUAUUAAAGUAGGCGAGGAAGGUUCAAUAUCAGAAGAAGCUUAUAAAGUUGCAUAUCAUGCUCUAGAAGAAGCAAUGGAGCAUUGUGCGCGCUUGAACUAUUCUGCAAAGAGCAUCCUGGAGACCACCAAGACUGCUGCUCAUGGUCUUUUAGACGUUGGACAGAAUAAAGACAAAAGCAUUGCAAAGGCAUCAAAGACAAAAGUUCCAAAGAAACGGAAGGUACGAGCUGAGCCUGAAACAGUGUUGUCUACUGGGAUGGAAGAAAGCAGCCAGGACGUGGAGCAGCUGAACCGACAAUCACAUAGACUUCAUGAUUCUUACAUUUCUCAGCAGGAUUUUCAAGGGGUGGAACCUGAGUUAAGAAAUCCCAUAGUCAAUGGUUACAGUGGUGCAGAGCAUGGCGGACCGGGACACUUGAGUUCACUAUCGUCUCUGCAAGAUUGCUACUACAAUGACCAAUCGCUUAUGCAAGGUGUUCUGGGUAAUUUUUCAGCACGUGUCAGCCAUCAUGCUACCCAACAGAAUCUGCAUGCUCUGUUGCAGGGUCAGUUUAGCUUCAGGCCCCUGUCCCUGGAAGGAUGUUCUCAACUACGGGAUAGCUUGCAAAAUGAAAAUUCUGUUAGUAUGAUGUCAAAGCAUUUGCACGAUUAACAUAUUUGGAGGGUUGGUGAUCUGCUGCUCCAGUUAGAAGUUUUGGGAGGUGAAGAGCUUUGUUAUGCACAAAUGGAGUUGUUGAAACUUUAUGGAGCAACACUUUGCAAAUGCCUGUUUUGCCCCUUGUUAGACGACACGAUAUAUGGCUCAUUUUCUUGAUGGAUACUGCUUGGUGCGUCUAUGUGAGAUUGAGCUUUAGGGAUGUUAGGGAUGAAGACGGGCACAUCAUAUAUAUCGUGCAGCGAUUGAGAGCGCAUGCCAAAUAGGGUUGUGAGAGUGGAUGCAGAAUAUCGUUUCACUGGUAAAUAGAGAAUAUCAAUUAUUUUGAGGUCUUCUUUGACUGAUUUAUCAGAAUAUGGAAUUCUAAAGUAUGAUCAUCAUAUGUAAUAUAAAUUCCAUUUUGAGUCUCA